AGGUCAAGUCAUCAUGGCCCCUAUGUCCAGGGCUACACACGUGCUACAAUGGUCGGUACAGAGCGAAGCGAAGCCGCGAGGCCAUAGCGAAGCGCGAAAGCCGGCCGUAGUCCGGAUUGAAGUCUGAAACCCGACUUCAUGAAGUUGGAAUCGCUAGUAAUCGCGCAUCAGCAUGGCCGCGUCCGAUACGUUCCGGCCUU
Molecule: ribosomal RNA, 200 nt
Filed under: uncultured prokaryote
Description: partial 16S ribosomal RNA
Rfam family: Bacterial small subunit ribosomal RNA
Source: RNAcentral